This 1140-nucleotide ribosomal RNA is filed under the name Francisella-like endosymbiont of Dermacentor reticulatus. Its description in RNAcentral is "bacterial SSU rRNA". It matches the Rfam family "Bacterial small subunit ribosomal RNA", at positions 144 to 1282 of the family's 1533-position model. The record is from RNAcentral. Lineage: Bacteria; Pseudomonadati; Pseudomonadota; Gammaproteobacteria; Thiotrichales; Francisellaceae.
UACCAGUUGGAAACGACUGUUAAUACCGCAUAGUAUCUGUGGAUUAAAGGUGGCUUUCGGGCUGUCGCAGAUGGAUGAGCCUGCGUUGGAUUAGCUAGUUGGUGGGGUAAGGGCCUACCAAGGCUACGAUCCAUAGCUGAUUUGAGAGGAUGAUCAGCCACAUUGGGACUGAGACACGGCCCAAACUCCUACGGGAGGCAGCAGUGAGGAAUAUUGGACAAUGGGGGCAACCCUGAUCCAGCAAUGCCAUGUGUGUGAAGAAGGCCUUAGGGUUGUAAAGCACUUUAGUUGGGGAGGAAAGCUUUGAGGUUAAUAGCCUUGAGGAGGGACGUUACCCAAAGAAUAAGCACCGGCUAACUCCGUGCCAGCAGCCGCGGUAAUACGGGGGGUGCAAGCGUUAAUCGGAAUUACUGGGCGUAAAGGGUCUGUAGGUGGUUUGUUAAGUCAGAUGUGAAAGCCCAGGGCUCAACCUUGGAACUGCAUUUGAUACUGGCAAACUAGAGUACGGUAGAGGAAUGGGGAAUUUCUGGUGUAGUGGUGAAAUGCGUAGAGAUCAGAAGGAACACCAAUGGCGAAGGCAACAUUCUGGACCGAUACUGACACUGAGGGACGAAAGCGUGGGGAUCAAACAGGAUUAGAUACCCUGGUAGUCCACGCUGUAAACGAUGAUUACUAGCUGUUGGAGUCGGUGUAAAGGCUCUAGUGGCGCAGCUAACGCGAUAAGUAUUCCGCCUGGGGACUACGGCCGCAAGGCUAAAACUCAAAGGAAUUGACGGGGACCCGCACAAGCGGUGGAGCAUGUGGUUUAAUUCGAUGCAACGCGAAGAACCUUACCUGGUCUUGACAUCCUGCGAACUUUCUAGAGAUAGGUUGGUGCCUUCGGGAACGCAGUGACAGGUGCUGCACGGCUGUCGUCAGCUCGUGUUGUGAAAUGUUGGGUUAAGUCCCGCAACGAGCGCAACCCCUAUUGAUAGUUACCAUCAUUAAGUUGGGUACUCUAUUGAGACUGCCGCUGACAAGGCGGAGGAAGGUGGGGACGACGUCAAGUCAUCAUGGCCCUUACGACCAGGGCUACACACGUGCUACAAUGGGUAUUACAGAGGGCUGCGAAGGAGCGAUCUGGAGCGAAACUCAAAAAGG